Non-coding RNA from Podarcis lilfordi (Lilford's wall lizard), 153 nucleotides. Lineage: Eukaryota; Metazoa; Chordata; Lepidosauria; Squamata; Lacertidae. The record is from the annotation of a GenBank genome assembly.
UGUAAAUCUUGAAAACUUUUUUGAAUUAGAAGCUAAUGUUAACAUUUUACAUUCAGAAAAUAUCACUCUGGAAAGUUUAUAAAUAUAUAUAUAUUUAUUGUGUGUGUGUGUGUGUGUGUGUGUGUGUGUGUGUGUAUCGUGGCGGGGAUACAC